Molecule: long non-coding RNA, 262 nt
Organism: Sander lucioperca (pikeperch)
Lineage: Eukaryota; Metazoa; Chordata; Actinopteri; Perciformes; Percidae
Exons: 3
Source: RefSeq, a predicted model, not a curated record
UACUGUAUAAGCAUGAGACACUUGCAGUGACAGGGCAAUUAUAUUGUGCAUAAGGUGCUCUGUGGUAAGGUUGCUCUUUGAGAGUGUGUGUCAUGGUGGUAGUACAAAUAAGUCCAGUAGUGCAAGGAUAAAGGGAGGGGUUGUGCAUAUGGGCUAAUAAUAUAGCCAGUAAACAGUGUAAACAGUGUAAGCAGUAAACAGUGGGCCAGUGGACAGUCAGUACAUAACUAUUGUUAUAGGAGGUAAGGGAAGUGGUAGAGAG